This 620-nucleotide ribosomal RNA is filed under the name uncultured Bacillota bacterium. RNAcentral describes it as "bacterial SSU rRNA". It matches the Rfam family "Bacterial small subunit ribosomal RNA", at positions 282 to 916 of the family's 1533-position model. The record is from RNAcentral. Lineage: Bacteria; Bacillati; Bacillota.
GGUAGCCGGACUGAGAGGUUGAACGGCCACAUUGGGACUGAGACACGGCCCAGACUCCUACGGGAGGCAGCAGUGGGGGAUAUUGCGCAAUGGGGGAGACCCUGACGCAGCAACGCCGCGUGAAGGAUGAAGGUCUUCGGAUUGUAAACUUCUUUUAUUAAGGACGAAGAAAGUGACGGUACUUAAUGAAUAAGCUCCGGCUAACUACGUGCCAGCAGCCGCGGUAAUACGUAGGGAGCAAGCGUUGUCCGGAUUUACUGGGUGUAAAGGGUGCGUAGGCGGCUUUGCAAGUCAGAUGUGAAAUCUAUGGGCUCAACCCAUAGCCUGCAUUUGAAACUGCAGAGCUUGAGUGAAGUAGAGGCAGGCGGAAUUCCCCGUGUAGCGGUGAAAUGCGUAGAGAUGGGGAGGAACACCAGUGGCGAAGGCGGUCUGCUGGGCUUUAACUGACGCUGAGGCACGAAAGCGUGGGUAGCAAACAGGAUUAGAUACCCUGGUAGUCCACGCUGUAAACGAUGAUUACUAGGUGUGGGGGGUCUGACCCCUUCCGUGCCGGAGUUAACACAAUAAGUAAUCCACCUGGGGAGUACGGCCGCAAGGUUGCAACUCAAAUGAAUUGACGG